This 464-nucleotide ribosomal RNA is filed under the name uncultured Syntrophus sp. RNAcentral's name for it is "bacterial SSU rRNA". It matches the Rfam family "Bacterial small subunit ribosomal RNA", at positions 920 to 1382 of the family's 1533-position model. Lineage: Bacteria; Pseudomonadati; Thermodesulfobacteriota; Syntrophia; Syntrophales; Syntrophaceae. The record is from RNAcentral.
CCCGCACAGGCGGUGGAGCAUGUGGUUUAAUUCGAUGCAACGCGAAGAACCUUACCUGGGCUUGACAUCCCGGGAAUCCCUUGGAAACAAGGGAGUGCCCUUCGGGGAACCUGGAGACAGGUGCUGCAUGGCUGUCGUCAGCUCGUGUCGUGAGAUGUAGGGUUAAGUCCCGCAACGAGCGCAACCCUUGUCUUUAAUUGCCAUCAUUGAGUUGGGCACUUUAAAGAGACUGCCGGUGUUAAACCGGAGGAAGGUGGGGAUGACGUCAAGUCCUCAUGGCCCUUAUGUCCAGGGCUACACACGUGCUACAAUGGCCGGUACAAAGGGCUGCAAGACCGUGAGGUUGAGCGAAUCCCAGAAAGCCGGUCUCAGUUCGGAUUGGAGUCUGCAACUCGACUCCAUGAAGUUGGAAUCGCUAGUAAUCGCGGAUCAGCAUGCCGCGGUCGAAUACGUUCCCGGGCCUU